CACUGGUCGAGUGACUCUGCGCCGAAAAUUUAACGGGGCUAAACUAUACACCGAAGCUUGGGAUACAUCUAAUGUAUGGUAGGAGAGCGUUCUGUAUGGGGAGAAGUCGUAGCGAAAGCGGCGGUGGACUAUACAGAAGUGAGAAUGCCGGAAUAAGUAGCGAGAAUUAAGUGAGAAUCUUAAUGGCCGAAAGUCUAAGGUUUUUGGAGGAAGGUUCGUCCGCUCCAAGUAAGUCGGGAGCUAAGGUCAGGCCGAAAGGCGUAGCCGAUGCACAUACGGUUGAUAUUCCGUAACCAUCUGUAAUUUAAGCAAAGGGACACUUCAAAAGGGUGUGACCCGGGCGUUGGUUGACCCGGGCGUAAGGGACCGAAAUUAGAGUAGGGAAGCACACUUGGCUGAAGGCGAGAAAAGCUUUGCGUAUAGAAGCAGAUGCCCGUACCGCAAACCGACACAGGUGGACAGGAAGAGAAUUCUAAGGCCAGCGGGAGAAGGGUAGUUAAGGAACUCGGCAAAUUGACUCCGUAACUUCGGAAUAAGGAGUGCUCGAAAGAGCCGCAGAGAAUAGGCCCAGGCGACUGUUUAGCAAAAACACAGGUCUCUGCCAAAUCGAAAGAUGAAGUAUAGGGGCUGACACCUGCCCGGUGCCGGAAGGUUAAGAGGAGGAGUGAGAGCUCCGAAUUGAAGCCCCGGUAAACGGCGGCCGUAACUAUAACGGUCCUAAGGUAGCGAAAUUCCUUGUCGGGUAAGUUCCGACCCGCACGAAUGGUGUAACGAUCUGGGCACUGUCUCAACUACCCACCCGGCGAAAUUGUAGUACCGGUGAAGAUGCCGGUUACCUGCGGCAAGACGGAAAGACCCCAUGGAGCUUUACUGUAGCCUGAUAUUGGGUUUCGGAAAUCUAUGUACAGGAUAGGCGGGAGACUGGGAAACAUGAGCGUCAGCUUGUGUGGAGUCGAUGUUGGGAUACCGCCCUUAGGUUUCUGGAAUUCUAACCUGCGGCCGUGAAUCCGGUCGGGGGACAUUGUCAGGUGGGCAGUUUGACUGGGGCGGUCGCCUCCGAAAAGGUAACGGAGGCGCUCAAAGGUUAGCUCAGCACGGACGGAAACCGUGCCUCUGAGUGUAAACGCAAAAGCUAGCCUAACUGCGAGGGUGACGGCCCGAGCAGUAACGAAAGUUGGAGUUAGUGAUCCGGCGGUAUGAG
RNAcentral lists this ribosomal RNA (1201 nucleotides) under human gut metagenome. Its description in RNAcentral is "bacterial LSU rRNA". It matches the Rfam family "Bacterial large subunit ribosomal RNA", at positions 1143 to 2432 of the family's 2925-position model. The record is from RNAcentral.